This 2474-nucleotide ribosomal RNA is filed under the name Triticum aestivum (bread wheat). Its description in RNAcentral is "partial small subunit ribosomal RNA". Lineage: Eukaryota; Viridiplantae; Streptophyta; Magnoliopsida; Poales; Poaceae. The record is from RNAcentral.
AGGUGGAGCACGGCGCCCGCUCCCCUCCACGCAGCGGCCGGAGUGGGCACGAGGGCACCUCAACAAUGGUGGAUGAGGUUGUCUCCCCGGACUCGUGGAAGGCGAGUCGUGCCCAUGAAGGAGUGUGAACAGGACGCCUCCUCCACUACGUCAUCGCCGCCGCCGCUAAUGCGAGGCGAAUCGUCGGGACGCGCUCGCCUCGAGCGCGGGCUCCAUCGUUGUGCCGGCGGCUUCGACUCCUCGCGCCGCCGCUGUCCUACAGACGCAUGCGAGCUUGCAGUCUCUCUGAGGUAGUUGGCGAGGAGAUGUGGCUAGACGCCUGGACUAUGAUCCUUCGUCGGUGGGCGGUCUGAUGCCAAAUUUCUAGAUCCUCUCUGCUACUAAUGCUCAUGUGCGUCCAUCCCGGUCGUGAAGUGUGGAUCUUCCUUUCAGUCCCAGGUGAUUCUUUUGAGCUAAGUCGGGAGGGAGGCCCCUACCUUUUUAUGUCAUUAUAAAACAAGAUCGUUCGUCUCUAAGGAGAGCAUGAAUACUUGAUUUGAGUACAAGAAGAAAUAAACAGCUGCAGGGGGGACCGAAGAGGAGAAAGAAGGACAAAGAAAAAGGAAGGGAGAGGGAAAACAAGAAGGCUGAACAAGAACUAGCGUAAUCAGUCAUUGAUUCACCUACGUGCUGAGCAUGUGUCCUCAAUUUUUAGUCCAUGAGCCCACGAUUUAACCGCCUCCAAGCAUUGAUUCACAACUCAACUCAGGUGGGAUGGCCAUGUUGUCAAAGACUUGCCUAUUUCAAGCCAGCCAUAUAGUCCAACGGCAAAUGGUAACCUUUCCAUGCUGUUAUUUUUUGCUUACAAAAUGGAUUGCUCCAGGUGUCAAAGACGUCAGACGUUUCUUAACUGUUUACCCCCAAGAUAUUUGGAUUCUCUUUAGUUUGGUUGAACUGCAAAGCAAAUUGCGCCGUUGUUUCCUAAUCUGCACCGCUGAAGUGACAUGCAUUGUCGGCCAUAAUUAUUUGUUUUUUCAGCAGAACUGAACAAACAUCAGGCCUUUUUCUGACCAACAACCAGCCAAAGAAUUCUCCUUUUCUUGGGUCUCUAGGUGAUUUUUCCUUUGUGGAUUUGUGUUCCCAAUGGAGUCAGUUUUAAUACAUCACAUUUAUAUUCAGAGGAAAUUGGUUACUUACAGUGCUAUGUAUGAAACCCAUAGUGGUACCCUUGUGUGAACCUAUAAUUGCCUUGCAUGUGAAUGUGCAAAUUUGUGCAUUCUGUGUUGAGGAUUUUUUCACCAUGAACGCAUCUAUAUGGACUAAUCUGUAGUUCUACUAUGUGAGUAGGACUGCCUUUGAUUUCAGGCUACGUAAGUAACAUGUUGCCCCCUGCUUCCACUGAAUCCCUGAAAACCAUAUGGAGUUCUGAACAUUGAAACUAUGGAGCACUUAGAUCCUUCUGUCACAUGCCCAUUUUAUAUUAUUUUUUGAAUAAUCUCAUUUUGUUUUAUAGUAACGGACAAGCAGAUAUAGUUACACAGCCCAUUCUCAAUCUUGGGUAUUACAUAGUCCGUCAAUUCUUCAUUUUCUGUUUGUUUUAAUUUCUUAGAAUAAUCAUUCAUCAUUUCUCAUUCAUUGCCAAUUAGGCUCUUAUGCCCGGAUUCUUGAACAUGUAUCCGUGCAAUAGAAAUUCAAGCGCAGUACAUUGCUCAGGUGCAGUUUUCAAGCCAAUCAUAGAUUGAUUUCUUGGUAGAGAUACAAAAGCAGUGGUUGUAUAUAUUUUGUAAGCACUACACGAUGUCAUAGCUUUGCAAUAACUUUUUGGUGAAUGUGGGGGACAAAAAAAAAUUACUGGAGCAAAUGUCAUAUAUAAAUCAGUUAUUAGUUAGACCACAAUCAUUUCCUACUCGAUUUCUUACUCUCUGAUUUUACCUUUUUGCUGAAAAAAAUGAUAUUAUCGUCCUGCAUUUUAAAAAUAAUAAAUGGCAUAAUAAUAGAAGAGUCAUACAAAACGGUUAUAGUGCAAUGCUCUAUAUUGGAGUAAUAUUCUUUUGAUCUUUUCCUCGAAAACUGACAAUAUCAACUCUGUAAAUUCUUGACCUACUUCCAGGGAUAUGUUCUUUUUUUCUAGGUUCGUUCUUUUUUUCUAGGUUCGCUCAUACCCACUGGGAGUUGCACGAUUCAGGGGUGACGCCAGACUCCACCAUUAUUAGAAGCCUGGUUUCUCCAUCGUGAGCAUGUUGCUAUAGGUUCCUUUCACGGGGUUUCUGGCCUCAGUUUUAAUCAACCCUACCCCUGUAUGUCUGUCAGUUAGUAGUUUAGGACUCACCAUGAAUUACUUUUUUCAUGGCAUAACUUACAUGAGCAUGAGUACGAGUACCAAAAUUAUUCUCUUUGUGUCUUACAUGAGCAUGGAUAUAUGCACCUCAAAUUACUUUUCUCGAAACAUCAUUCAUAUGACUAAACGUUGUAUGUACUCCCUCCGUCCGGAAAUA